AGAAGUCCUGUUUCGUUCUUUUGAAUUAAACUGUUUUUCUUUCUUUCUUUUUCCUUCUUUAAGGAGGCUUGAGGAAAAACCAACAAAAAAGAAGAAAAGCCUCACCAGACUUGCAUCAGCCUUAAAGUACCUCCCAGAGGUCUUCUUAAGGUGUCCCCAGGCUGAACGCUGUGCUUGCCGUGGCCUGCAGGGAUUGGUCAGGAUUUGGUCCCAACUAGGGCGACCACCUGUUGUUGUCCUUCUCCAGUCCUGCCCUAGAAGCAGAGUGAGAAGAGACACUCAGCCCCCAAGGCUAGCACACAGGACCGGAACCCACUUCCCCCAGGAAGGGGUCUGUGUGAGAAGCGUGUCUGAUGUGUGAGAUGGCCGUCUGAGUCACAAAUUCCUGCUUCGUGAGGAGCCUGGCCUCAACAUGGCCACGGGGGACCUGGAGGUGCUGGACAGGGGUCUGGGCUGCCCCGAGGCCAUGGAGGAGCUGACCAAGUCAGUGGAGAGAUCCAGGGAAGAAUCACAGGAGGAGGAGGAGGCCGAAGGUAGUGAGAAGGCAGAAAGUAAAGAAGAGACGAGCAGCCAGGUGCAGGUGCAGGUGCAGGUGCAGGGGCCGGCUGAGGAGGAGCAGGCCCUGGAUGGGAUCGGGGACGGUGCCAGGAAGCCCUCCAAGGUGAAGGCAGAGAAGGAGCACUUGGCCGACAAGGGGGGCUCAGGAAAGGAGAGAGGGAAGACAGCUGCAGCUCCGAAGAGUGCCCCAGCUAGGAAGAAAACCAAGGGCCAGUCCCAGCCCCAGGUGAAGCCACAGCCCCGGGCACUGGGGCCCACGUUCGAUGAGCUGCCUUGGGGAGAGAUCACCCUCAACAAGUGCCUGGCGCUGGCCUCAGUUGUGGCUGUCCUCAGCAUGGCCUUCCAGGUGUUCCAGGAUGUCAUUGAUGGGGAGGAGGAGGGCCCUGAGGCUGCCCCUGCCCUGUGGGCCUGGCCAGGCAGCAGUGCCCCGAGGGACAGCAGACCCAAGCUGGUGAGGAGGGGGGGAAGAGGCCUGCGUUCAGAACUGGAGGCUCUGGGUUCAGAUGCCAGCUCCGCCGUUUUCUAGUCACCCAACCUCUGAGUGUUAGUUUCCUCCUCACUGAGGUACCUUCCGACUCUAAAGUCUGUGACCCUCGGGGGCUGUUUGGUCCCCUCCAUUGGCCCCUGGGAGCAAGAGACCAGGAGGGCUGGGGCCCAGGCCCUCUGUGGCAGCCCCUCAUCCUGGGCCUGAGGGCUUUCCCAGCAUGGAAGUGACCCACCCAUCAGCUUGGGUAUGGAGAGGCAGGCCUGCCUGAUGCAGCCACACCCCCAAGGUGAGGUUGGCUUCUCUCCUUCAAGCCCCAUUAAAGCCCUGUUCCCCCGGGCCACCAUUGACCUCCUCUCUCCUGUUCCACACAAGGGUGACCCUCUCAUGACCCAGGCUGAGAUCUGUCCAGGAUAUAGCCCAGCCACAUAAGCCUGUCCCCUGCCCCUGGCCAUUAGCUCAGCCAAGAUCUCUGUUCCUCAAACAGCCCAAGCCCAGAGACUGGGCUAAGGCGUCAGCACCAGCCGCACCUCCAGGGCCAAAGCCCCAGACUGCCGUGGUCAAGGAGGCCUCACCCAAAGAGCCGGACACAGAGGGGCAAGAAGCGGAGGGUAAGGUGAGUCCUGGCCCGGCCCCAGAAGCAGCCGUUCUGCCUGAGGACCCCCGCCCCAGCUCCAAGGUGGCCAAGCCAGAGAAGCCGCCCUGGGCAGCGCUGCCCAAGAAGGAGGAGAAGGCCAAGGACAGGAAGGGCUUCCGAGAGGACAGGGCUGAGCCCCCGUGGCGGGAAAAGAAGGAGGGCGGCCAUAGGCCGAGGCCGCGCCAAGAAGGGAAGGAGGAGGCCCCACGCAGGCCCUGGGAGCGGGAGCAGGAGCACAGGCGCCCUGGCAGGCAGGAGGACUCCAAGAGGGCCCGGGAUGGACCCCGGAGCAAGAGACAAGAGCAGAGGGGCCGCGGGGGGCGCGAGGGGCGUGAAGACAGGGACAGGUUCUUCCCCAAACAGAAGCACCGGGAAGGAAAGCGGAGGGACUGAGGAGGCCCGAGGAGGCCCGUCCCUGGCUCCCAGAGGGCACAGCCCUGCGGCCCAGCAGCCGUCGGCCCUGGCCAUCCGGCCCGGCCAUUCCACCCCUGCUCCCUGCGACGUGUGGCCACCUGGGUUCAAAUCCUGUGUGAUUUGAGCAAGACACGUCCCUGAACCUCAGCUUCUCCUCCUAGAAAAUGAGGACUGACCACCCCUGAGCGACUGUGACCGCGGAGGGGAUUGCCGUGGGGGGGAUCGCCGCGGAGGGCUGCGGGGGAGUGUGCAGCCUCUCUGGGUGGCCGAGAGCUGCCACCAUGGCUGCGCCCCCAGCCCCUCCCCCAGCCUCCCGAGGCUGGUUCAGUUCCAGGUGCACGGUCUGAGUUUGUUAUAAAGUGAAUGUUUAAAAAUAAAAACACCGUCGUUCAGGC
RNAcentral lists this long non-coding RNA (2488 nucleotides) under Vombatus ursinus (common wombat). RNAcentral's name for it is "lncRNA (ENSVURG00010015735.1)". Lineage: Eukaryota; Metazoa; Chordata; Mammalia; Diprotodontia; Vombatidae. The record is from RNAcentral.